GUGCUUGCUUUGGCAGCACAUAUACUAAAAGUGGAAAGAUACAGAGAUUAGCCUGGCAUCUGCAGAAGGACGACAUGCUAAUUCCUGAAGUCUGCCAUAUGUUU
Hyaena hyaena (striped hyena) is the source of this 104-nucleotide small nuclear RNA. The record is from RefSeq and is a predicted model, not a curated record. NCBI's taxonomy places the organism in Eukaryota, Metazoa, Chordata, Mammalia, Carnivora, Hyaenidae.